This 239-nucleotide ribosomal RNA is filed under the name uncultured bacterium. RNAcentral describes it as "partial 16S ribosomal RNA". It matches the Rfam family "Bacterial small subunit ribosomal RNA", at positions 118 to 352 of the family's 1533-position model. The record is from RNAcentral.
UGAGGAACAUGACCUUCGGCGGGGGAUAGCCGGCCCAACGGCCGGGUAAUACCGCGUACGACCACUUUGGGACAUCCCUCGGUGGUGAAAGCAGCAAUGCGCCGAUGGAGUGCCUCGCGGCCUAUCAGCUAGUUGGUGAGGUAACGGCUCACCAAGGCGACGACGGGUAGCUGGUCUGAGAGGAUGGCCAGCCACAUUGGGACUGAGACACGGCCCAGACCUCCGUACGGGAGGNAGCG